RNAcentral lists this long non-coding RNA (971 nucleotides) under Gossypium barbadense (sea-island cotton). Its description in RNAcentral is "long non-coding RNA (GBAR_LNC006408)". The record is from RNAcentral. Lineage: Eukaryota; Viridiplantae; Streptophyta; Magnoliopsida; Malvales; Malvaceae.
AAUGAUGAAAUUAUAAAUUAAUAAAUAAUAAAAUUAUGGUUUGACAGCUUAAAAUUUGGCCUCUCCUAAAAGAAUUUCUAAAUUUGCCCGUGUGAAAAUAAGGAAGACAAAUGAUCAUACAACUGGCCAAUCCAAAGCAAAUGAUGUGAAAAAGUUCUGUCGAGGGUAUAGUUGGUAGUUUUAGCUCCUGAACCUUUUUCUGGUGGCAAUUUUGCAUUACUUUUCAUUGUGCUCCAUCAUUAUACCAUAAAAUUUACCCGCCACUAAGGCUUGCUUGGUAUGAAGGAUGGAAUGGAGUGAGGAUGGUAUCUUUGUAAAUCACAUGUUUCAGUUUCAUAACCACUUUCCUCCUUUGUAGCUUAACUGUCAGAUUAACUAAGCUUUAUGAAUCUUAACCCUUUGAUUAAUAGCCUUUUCCUAUAAAUCACCUGGUCUUGUUGCAAGAUAGAUUUGGCUUGUCUAAUAUGAAGUUAUGAUGAUUGCCCUCAACUCUGUUACGUCUUUGCUGAAUAAAAUUGACAACCACUGAUGUAUGAAAAUAUUCAGAUUUAUGUGAAGAUUCUGAAAGUAAAAUUGAUUAACAAGUCAAAUACUUGGGUGUCCCUCGGCUUUGAUGGCUAGAUGCAUGUGUCAUUGUCAUUAAACCUUAGAUAUGGAUACGAGUCUGGGUAUGCUCAUUUUUUGUAAGUUUUUCCAUAUGUGUGGAUGAUCAUACCAUUAUUCUUGUGUCCAAGUAUUUGUCAUACAUGGGUGCUGUAGAGAAACUGAAGAGUCCGGGUAACAUAGAAAAAAUAAGCUUUAGUGAAUUUGGAGGUAUUCAUUAUUAUUGCAUGCUAUCGUGUAUUGCGAAAUUGUUUCGUUUGAUUAGUAGGAAAUUUCGUUAGCUAAGGUGUCAAGAAUUGGGAAAUUUCAUCUGUUGUCUGUGAACUUGUUCUUCACAUCAGGAUUCUUAUAGCACAUUGCGUUCGAAC